GUUGCAACUAAGGGUUUGAUGUUGUUUCUCCAUGUCAAAAUGUAUUAAUUGGUUGCUAUAUGAAACAUGUCUAUUUUUUUCCUCUAAUUAUUUCUAUUUUAACUAAUAUCUUACUCAUUUUUAAAGUACAUGAUGAUUUGUUGUUGACUUGCAUACAAAAGAAGAGAAGUUUAUUUACUAUGUGUAGUUCUUGUUUGUGUGAACUCUUAAUCAUUUUCUAUUUAUUUCAGGUUCUUCAUAACAUUGUUGUUGCAAAAUACUUUCACUGGAAUAUGCUACGUGAUUCAAUAACUCCUAUUUUUCCACUGGACUGUUAAUCUCUUUUUGAUUUUGUGGAUAACUUUGCUGCAAACUAUGCUCUGAAGAGAGUUUAUUAUGUCAACUAUGCAUUGGGGAUAUCUAGACGCAGGAAACCUUGCUGGCAUCUAUUAUGAACAAAGUCAACUUGACAUGGCAAUUCUGCAUUACAAGUAAGCUAUCAACUGUGAUUCUACCUUUAUUGAAGCUUACAAUAAUCUGGGGAAUGCUCUCAAAGACGCUGGACAUGUGGAAGAGGCUAUCAACUUCUAUAGGGGAACUUAUGCAGAAGCAAUAGCCUGUUACAAUGAAGUUCUUCGCAGACUGCUGCUGAUGGUCUUGUCAAUAGAGGGAACACAUUUAAGGAGAUUGGUAGAGUUACUGAAG
Molecule: long non-coding RNA, 684 nt
Organism: Zingiber officinale
Lineage: Eukaryota; Viridiplantae; Streptophyta; Magnoliopsida; Zingiberales; Zingiberaceae
Exons: 3
Source: RefSeq, a predicted model, not a curated record